CCGGAUUUACUGGGCGUAAAGGGUGCGUAGGCGGUCUUUCAAGUCAGGAGGGAAAGGCUACGGCUCAACCGUAGUAAGCUCUUGAAACUGGGAGACUUGAGUGCAGGAGAGGAGAGUGGAAUUCCUAGUGUAGCGGUGAAAUGCGUAGAUAUUAGGAGGAACACCAGUUGCGAAGGCGGCUCUCUGGACUGUAACUGACGCUGAGGCACGAAAGCGUGGGGAGCAAACAGGAUUAGAUACCCUGGUAGUCCACGCUGUAAACGAUGAGUACUAGGUGUCGGGGGUUACCCCC
Molecule: ribosomal RNA, 292 nt
Filed under: Clostridioides difficile
Lineage: Bacteria; Bacillati; Bacillota; Clostridia; Peptostreptococcales; Peptostreptococcaceae
Description: partial 16S ribosomal RNA
Rfam family: Bacterial small subunit ribosomal RNA
Source: RNAcentral